AAUCAACGCUGGCGGCGUGCCUAACACAUGCAAGUCGAACGCGAAAGCCCGCAAGGGUAAGUAGAGUGGCGCACGGGUGAGUAACACGUGGACAACCUGCCUUCGAGUGGGGAAGUAACCUUCCGAAAGGAGGGCGUAAUACCGCAUAACACCUCGGGACGACAAGUUCUGGGGUUGGAAAAGAAGCAAUUUGUCUCGAAGAGGGGUCCGGCGCCUGAUUAGCUAGUUGGUGAGGUAACGGCUCACC
Molecule: ribosomal RNA, 247 nt
Filed under: uncultured bacterium
Lineage: Bacteria
Description: partial 16S ribosomal RNA
Rfam family: Bacterial small subunit ribosomal RNA
Source: RNAcentral